AUUGAACGCUGGCGGCAUGCUUUACACAUGCAAGUCGAGCGGCAGCGCGGGGGCAACCCUGGCGGCGAGCGGCGAACGGGUGAGUAAUGCAUCGGAACGUACCCUGGAGUGGGGGGAUAACGCCGCGAAAGCGGCGCUAAUACCGCAUAUGCUCUGAGGAGGAAAGUGGGGGGACCGCAAGGCCUCACGCUCUGGGAGCGGCCGAUGUCCGAUUAGCUAGUUGGUGGGGUAAAGGCUUACCAAGGCGACGAUCGGUAGCUGGUCUGAGAGGAUGAUCAGCCACACUGGGACUGAGACACGGUCCAGACUCCUACGGGAGGCAGCAGUGGGAAUAUUGCUACAAUGGGGGAAACCCUGAUGCAGCCAUGCCGCGUGUGUGAAGAAGGCCUUA
This 391-nucleotide ribosomal RNA is filed under the name uncultured bacterium. RNAcentral's name for it is "bacterial SSU rRNA". It matches the Rfam family "Bacterial small subunit ribosomal RNA", at positions 29 to 419 of the family's 1533-position model. The record is from RNAcentral.